This 526-nucleotide ribosomal RNA is filed under the name uncultured bacterium. RNAcentral describes it as "bacterial SSU rRNA". It matches the Rfam family "Bacterial small subunit ribosomal RNA", at positions 44 to 546 of the family's 1533-position model. The record is from RNAcentral.
AUGCCUAAUACAUGCAAGUCGAGCGAAUGGAUUGAGAGCUUGCUCUCAAGAAGUUAGCGGCGGACGGGUGAGUAACACGUGGGUAACCUGCCCAUAAGACUGGGAUAACUCCGGGAAACCGGGGCUAAUACCGGAUAACAUUUUGAACUGCAUGGUUCGAAAUUGAAAGUGCGGCUUCGGCUGUCACUUAUGGAUGGACCCGCGUCGCAUUAGCUAGUUGGUGAGGUAACGGCUCACCAAGGCAACGAUGCGUAGCCGACCUGAGAGGGUGAUCGGCCACACUGGGACUGAGACACGGCCCAGACUCCUACGGGAGGCAGCAGUAGGGAAUCUUCCGCAAUGGACGAAAGUCUGACGGAGCAACGCCGCGUGAGUGAUGAAGGCUUUCGGGUCGUAAAACUCUGUUGUUAGGGAAGAACAAGUGCUAGUUGAAUAAGCUGGCACCUUGACGGUACCUAACCAGAAAGCCACGGCUAACUACGUGCCACAGCCGCGGUAAUACCGUAAGGUGGCAAAGCGUUAUCCC